UUUUGGACAAUGGGGGAAACACUGAACCAGCAAUCCCGCGUGUAUGAUGAAGGCCUUCGGGUUGUAAAGUACUUGUGGCGUAGAAGAAAAGGUAUACCCUAAUACGGGAUACUGCAGACGCUAACUGCAGAAUAAGCAUCGGCUAAAUACGGGCCAGCAGCCGCGGUAAUACGUAGGGUGCACGCGUUAAUCGGAAUUACUGGGCGUAAAGCGUGUGUAGGCGGUUCGGAAAGAAAGAUGUGAAAUCCCAGGGCUCAACCUUGGAACUGCAUUUUUAACUGCCGAGCUAGAGUAUGUCAGAGGGGGGUAGAAUUCCACGUGUAGCAGUGAAAUGCGUAGAUAUGUGGAGGAAUACCGAUGGCGAAGGCAGCCCCCUGGGAUAAUACUGACGCUCAGACACGAAAGCGUGGGGAGCAAACAGG
This 422-nucleotide ribosomal RNA is filed under the name uncultured bacterium. RNAcentral describes it as "partial 16S ribosomal RNA". It matches the Rfam family "Bacterial small subunit ribosomal RNA", at positions 362 to 776 of the family's 1533-position model. The record is from RNAcentral.